UAAGAUAAGCAAACAGAGGAGUGGAGCAGACGCUGAGGGAGUAGGACGGAUGGAGAGACAGAGAGUAGCGACAGCAGCAGCCGCAGAUUUAUUUGGUGACUGACCAUGUAGUCGUCUCACUCUCGCAAGCGCACCCGCGCGCCUAACAAGUGUCAAAAACCUUUUCUGCGAGCAUUGUGUUUAUUUAUGAAUUUGUGAAAAGUAUUAAUUAAGUCUCGAAAGUACUAUAUAAGCCGCCAGCACGUUUUGACCUUUGCCUGUGACGCGUCGUAGUUCAUAGAACGCGGAAAUUUGGCGGCGUGCUGCGUUCCUCAUUCUCGCGUCAUUCGUUUCGUGUUUUGUGCUCUUUUUUGCACAGGUCAGCGCGAGUGCAACGCACAUAACGGUAAAUGUUGUGGCUGGCUGCAGUGUUUGGUGUGACUCAGUUUAAUGCGAUUUACCUCUUUUCGUUGGUUAUAAUCUUGUCCGGCGGCUCGUUAUGGCCAAAGAAUGAUAUAUAAUAGACCAUGGCGAAUGUGCUUUGCUUUCCUUUCCCUCUCGCCCGCACUUAAUUCCAAUUUCCACGGCCAAUUGUGUUUGUUUUUGUAAUUAGUUGUCGCGCACUAAGAAUUUCAUUCAUUCGUACUCAACGGCGACGUCGACGGCGCUGCAUUAAUGCAAAUUUUUACGCUUGCUUUUCGCUGGCAGCAGUUUUUUGUUUUACGCACAGAAGUGGCAGCGGAUGGAGUGGCGUUACAGUAACUUUUGAUUAAAAACGUUCACUCGGUUCGUGCCAAGCACAAACAGCCACCGCGCGCACACUCACACACAGACACACAGAGACUGGCCGAGUUGCUGCUAUUUUUUGUCGCCAAAAAAAUUAAAUGACGUCAAGUUGCGCUUUAGAUAACGAAACGGAGAACGCGUUAUUCCGACCCAACCGUCCGCACCAAAGGUAGAUACAAAUCAACUACAAAAAAACUGGCCGAAGCUGGCUUUAGGCCGAAACCGAGACCGCCACGGAGAGAGAGCAAAGCGAGCGCACAGCACCACAAAAAUUGGUAUGUACCGCCGUGUGCUAAGCCGAUUUCCUCCCUCGAAACCAGUUUGGAGCGCAGGUUGCACUGCGCAUGUGUGUGCCCGGAGAGACAGAGCGCGAGAGAGAGAGAGAGAUGCCAUGAAGAAGAGAGCCAUGGCCAACCACCGAAGCAGCAGUUGCAAGGUACUCCACCACUCCCGGCUGUCUGUUGUUGGUAUUGGUAUUGGGAAACUGGAGCUGGCUCCAAAAAGCUCCGGGAUCCAAACAUGUCCGAUCAUGUUUACAGGCCUAAAAGCUUAUGCAGCUGCGGGAAGCUUUUGGCCUCAGUACGAGAAAUGAUAAACAAAACGCGACAGAGACCGAUGAUAGUGAUUCGAAUUCGAGAUAGUAGAUGAUAGCU
Long non-coding RNA from Drosophila obscura, 1418 nucleotides. RefSeq lists it as uncharacterized. Lineage: Eukaryota; Metazoa; Arthropoda; Insecta; Diptera; Drosophilidae. The transcript has 3 exons. The record is from RefSeq and is a predicted model, not a curated record.